This is a long non-coding RNA of Biomphalaria glabrata, 1047 nucleotides long. RefSeq lists it as uncharacterized. The record is from RefSeq and is a predicted model, not a curated record. The transcript has 3 exons. Lineage: Eukaryota; Metazoa; Mollusca; Gastropoda; Planorbidae.
CAACUGCCAGCACCAGCAAGAGGACAAUUUAAUGCUCUUGUUUUGGACAGCAGGAGAAUCAAAUGAUGACUGUUGCAUUGAUGGUACCAAGUUUGAGCCAUGAUCACUAUCAUUCCCUGUCAUCUUGCAGGGGUUUUAGGCUUAGCCUUAAUAAUAAUUUAAAAACAAAUAAUUCAGAAGUUCAUAAAGCCAACAAAACCAGAUGCUUUUUGAAAAACAACCAGCAGAAUGCAGUUCAAAACUUUUCCUGGAAUGGACAGCAGCAACAGCCAGGGCUGUAAAAUCUAUGUGAAUAUUUUAGGGACUUGAUGGCAAUGUUUUGAAUUAAAAUGUACCAUUUAUAUCCAAAUUUAUGGCCCAUGGACAAUAAUCAGCCUGUUAUGGGUCCUAACUGGUCACUUGAAUCUCCUCCUUACUGUGCAGAGUGAAGUUGUAGAGACUAAUAUAUACCUUGAGCACCACAAUGAUUUAUUAAGGCCUGUGACAUGCAUGUUAGGACUUAUAUUGCUGCCAGACUGACAAAGCUGGGUGUCACUUGAAAACGAAAGUGUGGCAGCCAUCAUUAUGAUUAUUUAGAUCUGAGAAUGGUUAAAAAGUAUGUGGGUGCAUUCAUCCUUUACUUCCUGUUUGUUCACAACACCAUACAAGGUAACACUUCCUGACACCCCAAGCGCAUGGUAAGGAUCUGUUUACAUGAUUUACAGUUAGCGCUGACGUCUGGAAUGUGUGUUGGAGCCAUAAUGUGUAUAUUGACUAGGACAGACAUUCUAAUUCAUGAACAUUUUCAAAUUCUCAAAUUAUUAUUUAAAGAUUCAGUUUUGGUUGAAGUUAACAACAAAAUGGAAACCGUAGUGAACACUACCUUGGUUAAUGUGGCCUUUGGUGCAAGGUGUACAAAAGUAAUAGGAGGCUUCAACAUAGAAAACAACAGUAUAAAAAUUUCACUUAAUUUUGACCUAGAAAGAGAGAGUGCUCUAGAUUCAUUGCGUUGUGAAAUACAAAAAUCUUCCCAUGGACUUCUGGUGAACGUGGAUACAGAUAUGACUU